Molecule: ribosomal RNA, 433 nt
Filed under: uncultured bacterium
Lineage: Bacteria
Description: partial 16S ribosomal RNA
Rfam family: Bacterial small subunit ribosomal RNA
Source: RNAcentral
AGCGAACGCUGGCGGCAGGCCUAACACAUGCAAGUCGAACGAACUCUUCGGAGUUAGUGGCGGACGGGUGAGUAACGCGUGGGAACGUGCCCUUUGGUACGGAAUAACUCAGGGAAACUUGAGCUAAUACCGUAUGUGCCCUUCGGGGGAAAGAUUUAUCGCCAUUGGAGCGGCCCGCGUCUGAUUAGCUAGUUGGUGAGGUAAAGGCUCACCAAGGCUACGAUCAGUAGCUGGUCUGAGAGGAUGAUCAGCCACAUUGGGACUGAGACACGGCCCAAACUCCUACGGGAGGCAGCAGUGGGGAAUCUUGCGCAAUGGGCGAAAGCCUGACGCAGCCAUGCCGCGUGAAUGAUGAAGGUCUUAGGAUUGUAAAAUUCUUUCACCGGGGACGAUAAUGACGGUACCCGGAGAAGAAGCCCCGGCUAACUUCGUG